This 515-nucleotide ribosomal RNA is filed under the name uncultured bacterium. Its description in RNAcentral is "partial 16S ribosomal RNA". It matches the Rfam family "Bacterial small subunit ribosomal RNA", at positions 28 to 523 of the family's 1533-position model. The record is from RNAcentral.
GACGAACGCUGGCGGCGUGCCUAAUACAUGCAAGUCGAGCGGACUUUCAAGAAGCUUGCUUUUUGAAAGUUAGCGGCGGACGGGUGAGAAACACGUGGGCAACCUGCCUGUAAGACGGGGAUAACUCCGGGAAACCGGGGCUAAUACCGGAUAAUAUCUUUCUUCGCAUGAAGGAAGGUUGAAAGGCGGCGCAAGCUGCCGCUUGCAGAUGGGCCCGCGGCGCAUUGGCUAGUUGGUGAGGUAACGGCUCACCAAGGCGACGAUGCGUAGCCGACCUGAGAGGGUGAUCGGCCACACUGGGACUGAGACACGGCCCAGACUCCUACGGGAGGCAGCAGUAGGGAAUCUUCCGCAAUGGACGAAAGUCUGACGGAGCAACGCCGCGUGAGCGAAGAAGGUCUUCGGAUCGUAAAGCUCUGUUGUCAGGGAAGAACAAGUACCGUUCGAAUAGGGCGGUACCUUGACGGUACCUGACCAGAAAGCCACGGCUAACUACGUGCCAGCCGCCGCGGUAA